RNAcentral lists this transfer RNA (84 nucleotides) under Nanobdellota archaeon. RNAcentral's name for it is "tRNA-Ser". It matches the Rfam family "tRNA". From Rfam's summary of the family: Transfer RNA (tRNA) molecules are approximately 80 nucleotides in length. Their secondary structure includes four short double-helical elements and three loops (D, anti-codon, and T loops). The record is from RNAcentral. Lineage: Archaea; Nanobdellati; Nanobdellota.
GCCGAGAUCGCAUAACCUGGUAUUGCGCGGGCCUUGAGAGCCCGUUUCCUUACGGAUAUCUGGGUUCAAAUCCCAGUCUCGGCG